CAAUUCUGGAGAGCAAGUUUACCUUGGCACAGGAGCUCAGGUGGGGCUGUGAGAAACCUUAUCUGUGCUUGCCCGGUAAACAAGGAGCCCUCCAUCUCCCCAGAGCCUUGGCCACCCAGCAGGUGACCACAGGAGGCAGGUGAGCUGGGAGAGCGGCAGGCUGGCCAGAGCCAUCACAGAGCUCAACUGGCCCGGGAGCAGGCUGUGUUAGGUAAAUGUUGCCUGGAUUUGGUUGACAGACUCAUUUACUGAUUGUCUGUUGGUUGCCAAGAGAAAUGCCAUCAAAUUCACCAGAUGCAAAGACUGCUACCAUCCACCAUCGUGAGCCUUUGAGACCACAAAGAUCUUCU
RNAcentral lists this long non-coding RNA (350 nucleotides) under Equus caballus (horse). Its description in RNAcentral is "lncRNA (ENSECAG00000058838.1)". Lineage: Eukaryota; Metazoa; Chordata; Mammalia; Perissodactyla; Equidae. The record is from RNAcentral.